RNAcentral lists this ribosomal RNA (223 nucleotides) under Vibrio parahaemolyticus. Its description in RNAcentral is "partial 23S ribosomal RNA". It matches the Rfam family "Bacterial large subunit ribosomal RNA", at positions 1435 to 1658 of the family's 2925-position model. Lineage: Bacteria; Pseudomonadati; Pseudomonadota; Gammaproteobacteria; Vibrionales; Vibrionaceae. The record is from RNAcentral.
AUUCCCGUACUUCUUACAAUUGCGAUGGGGGGACGGAGAAGGCUAGGUGGGCCUGGCGACGGUUGUCCAGGUUCAAGUGCGUAGGCUUGAGAGUUAGGUAAAUCCGGCUCUCUUUAAGGCUGAGACACGACGUCGAGCACCUACGGGUGUGAAGUCAUUGAUGCCAUGCUUCCAGGAAAAGCCUCUAAGCUUCAGAUUGUAAGGAAUCGUACCCCAAACCGAC